Molecule: ribosomal RNA, 254 nt
Filed under: uncultured bacterium
Lineage: Bacteria
Description: partial 16S ribosomal RNA
Rfam family: Bacterial small subunit ribosomal RNA
Source: RNAcentral
CACGUAGGGGGCAAGCGUUGUCCGGAUUUAUUGGGCGUAAAGAGCUCGUAGGCGGCUUAGUAAGUCGGGUGUGAAACCUCCAGGCUCAACCUGGAGACGCCACCCGAUACUGCUGUGGCUAGAGUCCGGUAGGGGAGCGUGGAAUUCCUGGUGUAGCGGUGAAAUGCGCAGAUAUCAGGAAGAACACCUAUGGCGAAGGCAGCUCUCUGGGACGGUACUGACGCUGAGACGCGAAAGCGUGGGGAGCGAACAGG